This 997-nucleotide ribosomal RNA is filed under the name Mortierellales sp. RNAcentral's name for it is "partial large subunit ribosomal RNA". It matches the Rfam family "Eukaryotic large subunit ribosomal RNA", at positions 81 to 939 of the family's 3401-position model. Lineage: Eukaryota; Fungi; Mortierellomycota. The record is from RNAcentral.
UAGUAACGGCGAGUGAAGCGGGAUGAGCUCAAAUUUAAAAUCUGGCUGGUUUACUAGUCCGAAUUGUAGUUUAAAGAAGCGUUUUCGGUGGCAGCCUGGGUAUAAAUCCUUUGGAACAGGGUAUCAUAGAGGGUGAGAAUCCCGUCUUUGACUCAGUGCAUGCUACUAUGUGAUACGUUUUCAAAGAGUCGAGUUGUUUGGGAAUGCAGCUCAAAAUGGGUGGUAAAUUUCAUCUAAGGCUAAAUAUUGGCGAGAGACCGAUAGCGAACAAGUACCGUGAGGGAAAGAUGAAAAGAACUUUGAAAAGAGAGUUAAACAGUGCGUGAAAUUGUUGAAAGGGAAACGCUUGACACCAGUCAUGCGAGCGGAAAAUCAGUCUUUUGCAGUGGGGAGUUGUGUGGGUUCGGACCGCAAGGCCGGCCUGUGCUGCAUCUCUGCUGUAAGUGAUGCACUUUUUCGUUUGCAGGCCAACAUCAGUUUCUUCUGCUGGACAAAACUCUUGAGAAGGUAGCAGCUUAGGCUGUGUUAUAGCUCUUGAGCGAUACAGUGGAGGGGACUGAGGUUUUCGCAGCGCGUGCUCUCGGGCAAGGCUGAUUGGGUGCUAUGGGAUCGUUCGGUGUACAAUGCAUGCAUUUUGCGCCGUGUCUUUUCUAUACUCGCUCAACUCGGCUCUUCCGCGCUUAGGAUGUUGGCUUAAUGGUUUUAAUCGACCCGUCUUGAAACACGGACCAAGGAGUCUAACAUAUAUGCAAGUGUUUGGGUGGCAAACCCAUGCGCGUAAUGAAAGUGAACGUAGGUGCGAUCCGCAAGGUGCAGCAUCGACCGAUCUUGAUAUUUUUGGAUAGAUUUGAGUAAGAGCAUAUAUGCUGGGACCCGAAAGAUGGUGAACUAUGCCUGAAUAGGGUGAAGCCAGAGGAAACUCUGGUGGAGGCUCGUAGCGAUUCUGACGUGCAAAUCGAUCGUCAAAUUUGGGUAUAGGGGCGAAAGACUAAUCGAA